RNAcentral lists this ribosomal RNA (215 nucleotides) under uncultured fungus. Its description in RNAcentral is "partial small subunit ribosomal RNA". The stretch from base 88 to 215 matches the Rfam family "Eukaryotic small subunit ribosomal RNA", at positions 735 to 864 of the family's 1831-position model. The record is from RNAcentral. Lineage: Eukaryota; Fungi.
GGCCUGGCUGGACGGUCCGCCUAACGGUGUGUACUGUUCGGCUGGGUCUUACCUCUUGGUGAGCCAGCAUGGCCUUCACUGGCUGUGUUGGUGAACCAGGACUUUUACCUUGAGAAAAUUAGAGUGUUCAAAGCAGGCCUAUGCCCGAAUACAUUAGCAUGGAAUAAUAAAAUAGGACGUGCGGUUCUAUUUUGUUGGUUUCUAGAGUCGCCGUA